RNAcentral lists this ribosomal RNA (678 nucleotides) under Sulfitobacter pontiacus. RNAcentral describes it as "bacterial SSU rRNA". It matches the Rfam family "Bacterial small subunit ribosomal RNA", at positions 62 to 788 of the family's 1533-position model. Lineage: Bacteria; Pseudomonadati; Pseudomonadota; Alphaproteobacteria; Rhodobacterales; Roseobacteraceae. The record is from RNAcentral.
UCGAGCGCACCUUCGGGUGAGCGGCGGACGGGUUAGUAACGCGUGGGAACAUACCCUUUUCUACGGAAUAGCCUCGGGAAACUGAGAGUAAUACCGUAUAAGCCCUUCGGGGGAAAGAUUUAUCGGGAAAGGAUUGGCCCGCGUUAGAUUAGAUAGUUGGUGGGGUAAUGGCCUACCAAGUCUACGAUCUAUAGCUGGUUUUAGAGGAUGAUCAGCAACACUGGGACUGAGACACGGCCCAGACUCCUACGGGAGGCAGCAGUGGGGAAUCUUAGACAAUGGGCGCAAGCCUGAUCUAGCCAUGCCGCGUGUGUGAUGAAGGUCUUAGGAUCGUAAAGCACUUUCGCCAGGGAUGAUAAUGACAGUACCUGGUAAAGAAACCCCGGCUAACUCCGUGCCAGCAGCCGCGGUAAUACGGAGGGGGUUAGCGUUGUUCGGAAUUACUGGGCGUAAAGCGUACGUAGGCGGAUUGGAAAGUUGGGGGUGAAAUCCCAGGGCUCAACCCUGGAACUGCCUCCAAAACUAUCAGUCUAGAGUUCGAGAGAGGUGAGUGGAAUUCCAAGUGUAGAGGUGAAAUUCGUAGAUAUUUGGAGGAACACCAGUGGCGAAGGCGGCUCACUGGCUCGAUACUGACGCUGAGGUACGAAAGUGUGGGGAGCAAACAGGAUUAGAUACCCU